RNAcentral lists this ribosomal RNA (208 nucleotides) under uncultured bacterium. Its description in RNAcentral is "partial 16S ribosomal RNA". It matches the Rfam family "Bacterial small subunit ribosomal RNA", at positions 568 to 774 of the family's 1533-position model. The record is from RNAcentral.
CGCGUAGGCGGUUUUGCAAGCCAGAGGUGAAAUGCCUGAGCUCAACUUAGGAAUUGCCUUUGGGACUGCGAGGCUUUGAGGACUGGAGAGGUGAGUGGAAUUCCCAGUGUAGAGGUGAAAUUCGUAGAUAUUGGGAAGAACACCGGUGGCGAAGGCGGCUCACUGGCCAGUUUCUGACGCUGCAGCGCGAAAGCGUGGGGAUCAAACA